AAAUCAAUGUAUAGGAGGUCCUACCUGCCCAGUGACAUGUUAAACGGCCGCGGUAUUCUGACCGUGCUAAGGUAGCGCAAUCACUUGUCUUUUAAAUGAGGACCUGUAUGAAUGGUGGAACGAGGGCUUAACUGUCUCCCCUUUUAGGUCAAUGAAAUUGAUCUACCCGUGCAGAAGCGUGUAUAAUUAUACAAGACGAGAAGACCCUUUGGAGCUUAAGACAUAAGGUCAAGUAUGUCAAACUACCACAAACGAGUACAAAACAAAAUACUAGCUGACCAAAGUCUUCGGUUGGGGCAACCACGGGGGAAAAUGAAGCCCCCAUGCGGAAUGGGUUUAAACCUAAACCACGAGGGACACCUCUAAGUCACAGAACAUCUGACCAAAAGAUCCGGCACUUAGACCGAUCAACGGACCAAGUUACCCUAGGGAUAACAGCGCAAUCCCCUCCAAGAGUCCAUAUCGACAAGGGGGUUUACGACCUCGAUGUUGGAUCAGGACAUCCUAAUGGUGCAGCCGCUAUUAAGGGUUCGUUUGUUCAACGAUUAAAGU
RNAcentral lists this ribosomal RNA (552 nucleotides) under Creagrutus zephyrus. Its description in RNAcentral is "partial 16S ribosomal RNA". It matches the Rfam family "Bacterial large subunit ribosomal RNA", at positions 1835 to 2594 of the family's 2925-position model. The record is from RNAcentral. Lineage: Eukaryota; Metazoa; Chordata; Actinopteri; Characiformes; Stevardiidae.